UGACGGAGCAACGCCGCGUGCGGGAGGACGCCUUUCGGGGUGUAAACCGCUUUUCUCGGGGACGACGACCGACGGUACCCGAGGAAGAAGGCCCGGCUAACUACGUGCCAGCAGCCGCGGUAAUACGUAGGGGCCGAGCGUUGUCCGGAAUUACUGGGCGUGAAGCGCGCGCAGGCGGCCCGGUGCGCCCGGCGUGAAAGCCCCCGGCUCAACCGGGGAGCGUCGUCGGGGACGGCCGGGCUUGAGGGCGGGAGGGGCCGGUGGAAUCCCUGGUGUAGUGGUGAAAUGCGUAGAGAUCAGGGGGAACACCCGUGGCGAAGGCGGCCGGCUGGCCCGACCCUGACGCUGAGGCGCGAAGGCGUGGGGAGCG
This 370-nucleotide ribosomal RNA is filed under the name uncultured cyanobacterium. RNAcentral describes it as "bacterial SSU rRNA". It matches the Rfam family "Bacterial small subunit ribosomal RNA", at positions 384 to 770 of the family's 1533-position model. The record is from RNAcentral. Lineage: Bacteria; Bacillati; Cyanobacteriota.